GCAGUGGUGGCUCAGUGGUAGAAUUCUCACCUUCCAUGUGGGAGACCCAGGUUCUAUUCCAGCCAGUGCA
RNAcentral lists this transfer RNA (70 nucleotides) under Loxodonta africana (African savanna elephant). It matches the Rfam family "tRNA". Rfam says of the family: Transfer RNA (tRNA) molecules are approximately 80 nucleotides in length. Their secondary structure includes four short double-helical elements and three loops (D, anti-codon, and T loops). Further hydrogen bonds mediate the characteristic L-shaped molecular structure. tRNAs have two regions of fundamental functional importance: the anti-codon, which is responsible for specific mRNA codon recognition, and the 3' end, to which the tRNAs corresponding amino acid is attached (by aminoacyl-tRNA synthetases). tRNAs cope with the degeneracy of the genetic code in two manners: having more than one tRNA (with a specific anti-codon) for a particular amino acid; and 'wobble' base-pairing, i.e. permitting non-standard base-pairing at the 3rd anti-codon position. The record is from Rfam by way of RNAcentral. Lineage: Eukaryota; Metazoa; Chordata; Mammalia; Proboscidea; Elephantidae.